This 325-nucleotide unclassified non-coding RNA is filed under the name soil metagenome. Its description in RNAcentral is "partial contains 5.8S ribosomal RNA, internal transcribed spacer 2, and large subunit ribosomal RNA". The stretch from base 1 to 121 matches the Rfam family "5.8S ribosomal RNA", at positions 35 to 154 of the family's 154-position model. The record is from RNAcentral.
GAUGAAGAACGCAGCGAAAUGCGAUAAGUAAUGCGAAUUGCAGAAUUCCAGUGAAUCAUCGAAUCUUUGAACGCACAUUGCGCCCCUUGGUAUUCCAUGGGGCAUGCCUGUUCGAGCGUCAUUUGUACCUUCAAGCUUUGCUUGGUGUUGGGUGUUUGUCCCGAGGGACUCGCCUUAAAGUAAUUGGCAGCCAGUGUUUGGUUUUGAAGCGCAGCACAAGUCGCGAUUCAAGGCUACACGCCCGCUUCCACAAGCCUUUUUUCACUUUUGACCUCGGAUCAGGUAGGGAUACCCGCUGAACUUAAGCAUAUCAAUAAGCGGAGGA